This is a long non-coding RNA of Hemicordylus capensis (graceful crag lizard), 551 nucleotides long. RefSeq lists it as uncharacterized. The record is from RefSeq and is a predicted model, not a curated record. Lineage: Eukaryota; Metazoa; Chordata; Lepidosauria; Squamata; Cordylidae. The transcript is spliced from 3 exons.
UGAUCAAUAUUAUGUUUUUUGUCCCCCUCAGGCGCCUAACAAUGAUAGGGCAAGGGGAGACAGUUGUCUGGGGGCCCCACUGCCUGGAGGAGCACCCCAGGGGCACCUCACAUGACUCCCCAUUGCCCCCUGCCCAGCCCCAAGGCCCCUCAGCCACUUGCCCUCUUCGCCGUCUCUCCUGCUUGUUCUCCUGGCCGGCAAUGGAAGCAGCAGACAAGCUGCAAAGAGCUCCUUUUCUCCCGCCUCUCAGCUGAUCGGCGGGUGGGCGGUGCUUCCAGGGAGGCCUCCGAUUAGGCCUCAGUGAAGCCUGAACUCGAGUAGGGCCCAAGCCAGCCAGGAAGGAGGAGGCAGCCAGAGUGUUCUCUGCAGCAGAAGACCCCCUGCUGCACUGCUUAACCCAGACCAGCAUUUGCCAGUCUGAGAUGCUGGAGAUGUGAAACCAGCAAUGCAAAUAUGGAUCAGAUGAUGUGGAAAUGUAAAGUCAAGCAAUUAUUUUGGAUUUGAAUCUACUCCAAACUCUGAUGUGCUCUCCACAGUAUGUCACGCACAGC